This 1343-nucleotide ribosomal RNA is filed under the name uncultured bacterium. RNAcentral's name for it is "16S ribosomal RNA". It matches the Rfam family "Bacterial small subunit ribosomal RNA", at positions 28 to 1378 of the family's 1533-position model. The record is from RNAcentral.
GACGAACGCUGGCGGCGUGCUUAACACAUGCAAGUCGAACGGAAAGGCCCUGCUUUUGUGGGGUGCUCGAGUGGCGAACGGGUGAGUAACACGUGAGUAACCUGCCCUUGACUUUGGGAUAACUUCAGGAAACUGGGGCUAAUACCGGAUAGGAGCUCCUGCUGCAUGGUGGGGGUUGGAAAGUUUCGGCGGUUGGGGAUGGACUCGCGGCUUAUCAGCUUGUUGGUGGGGUAGUGGCUUACCAAGGCUUUGACGGGUAGCCGGCCUGAGAGGGUGACCGGCCACAUUGGGACUGAGAUACGGCCCAGACUCCUACGGGAGGCAGCAGUGGGGAAUAUUGCACAAUGGGCGGAAGCCUGAUGCAGCAACGCCGCGUGCGGGAUGACGGCCUUCGGGUUGUAAACCGCUUUCGCCUGUGACGAAGCGUGAGUGACGGUAAUGGGUAAAGAAGCACCGGCUAACUACGUGCCAGCAGCCGCGGUGAUACGUAGGGUGCGAGCGUUGUCCGGAUUUAUUGGGCGUAAAGGGCUCGUAGGUGGUUGAUCGCGUCGGAAGUGUAAUCUUGGGGCUUAACCCUGAGCGUGCUUUCGAUACGGGUUGACUUGAGGAAGGUAGGGGAGAAUGGAAUUCCUGGUGGAGCGGUGGAAUGCGCAGAUAUCAGGAGGAACACCAGUGGCGAAGGCGGUUCUCUGGGCCUUUCCUGACGCUGAGGAGCGAAAGCGUGGGGAGCGAACAGGCUUAGAUACCCUGGUAGUCCACGCUGUAAACGGUGGGUACUAGGUGUGGGGUCCAUUCCACGGGUUCCGUGCCGUAGCUAACGCUUUAAGUACCCCGCCUGGGGAGUACGACCGCAGGGCUAAAACUCAAAGGAAUUGACGGGGCCCCGCACAAGCGGCGGAGCAUGCGGAUUAAUUCGAUGCAACGCGUAGAACCUUACCUGGGUUUGACAUGGAUCGGGAGUGCUCAGAGAUGGGUGUGCCUCUUUUGGGGUCGGUUCACAGGUGGUGCAUGGCUGUCGUCAGCUCGUGUCGUGAGAUGUUGGGUUAAGUCCCGCAACGAGCGCAACCCUUGUUCACUGUUGCCAGCACGUUAUGGUGGGGACUCAGUGGAGACCGCCGGGGUCAACUCGGAGGAAGGUGGAGAUGACGUCAAGUCAUCAUGCCCCUUAUGUCCAGGGCUUCACGCAUGCUACAAUGGCUGGUACAGAGAGUGGCGAGCCUGUGAGGGUGAGCGAAUCUCGGAAAGCCGGUCUCAGUUCGGAUUGGGGUCUGCAACUCGACCUCAUGAAGUCGGAGUCGCUAGUAAUCGCAGAUCAGCAACGCUGCGGUGAAUACGUUCCCGGG